GGGGGUGCACUGGUUUCGACGGGGACGUAGAAGCCGGAGUGGCAGGCCGAGGCGCCGCUGGCCUCGUAAAAAGCGGCAAAAAUGUAAUUGCCAACAACGAUUACGACUCUGACUUCGCUUACGCCUAUGUGGCUUAGGCAAGUUUCUUGACCGCAAAUAUCGGUCACGCUGUUCGGGAUGACGCCUGAUAUUCCUAGGCAGCGACACUUUAUCGGGCUGGCGAAGACCGGCGCUCGUCGAUGGUGUUCGCGAGAUAUUACGGCGAGUUUGCUGUGUCGCGGUUGAUCAGGACCUAACGACACAAGCGAGAUAUGAUUCCUGAUCCAAGCCUGUAGAUGCUUUGAGCGGAAUGCUCUUCGGACAGGAGUUCGAUUCUCCUCACCUCCACCA
RNAcentral lists this transfer-messenger RNA (390 nucleotides) under Desulfovibrio sp. It matches the Rfam family "transfer-messenger RNA". Rfam says of the family: Bacterial tmRNA, also known as 10Sa RNA or SsrA, is named for its dual tRNA and mRNA-like properties. Its role is to liberate the mRNA from a stalled ribosome. To accomplish this part of the tmRNA is used as a reading frame that ends in a translation stop signal. Lineage: Bacteria; Pseudomonadati; Thermodesulfobacteriota; Desulfovibrionia; Desulfovibrionales; Desulfovibrionaceae. The record is from RNAcentral.